RNAcentral lists this ribosomal RNA (253 nucleotides) under uncultured bacterium. Its description in RNAcentral is "partial 16S ribosomal RNA". It matches the Rfam family "Bacterial small subunit ribosomal RNA", at positions 524 to 776 of the family's 1533-position model. The record is from RNAcentral.
UACGUAGGGGGCUAGCGUUGUCCGGAUUUAUUGGGCGUAAAGAGCUCGUAGGCGGCUUUGCAAGUCCCAUGUGAAAGCCCACGGCUUAACCGUGGAAGUGCAUGGGAAACUGCAGAGCUUGAGUACUUAAGAGGAUCGCGGAAUUCCCGGUGUAGAGGUGAAAUUCGUAGAUAUCGGGAGGAACACCGGUGGCGAAGGCGGCGACCUGGGUCGAGACUGACGCUGAGGCGCGAAAGCGUGGGGAGCAAACAGG